This 359-nucleotide ribosomal RNA is filed under the name uncultured bacterium. Its description in RNAcentral is "bacterial SSU rRNA". It matches the Rfam family "Bacterial small subunit ribosomal RNA", at positions 29 to 417 of the family's 1533-position model. The record is from RNAcentral.
AACGAACGCUGGCGGCAGGCCUAACACAUGCAAGUCGAACGCUCCGCAAGGGGAGUGGCGCACGGGUGAGUAACACGUGGGAACCUACCUUCUGGUACGGAACAACCAAGGGAAACUUUGGCUAAAACCGUAUACGACCUCCGGGUGAAAGAUUGAUCGCCGGAAGAGGGGCCCGCGUCCGAUUAGGUAGUUGGUGAGGUAACGGCUCACCAAGCCUACGAUCGGUAGCUGGUCUGAGAGGAUGACCAGCCACACUGGGACUGAGACACGGCCCAGACUCCUACGGGAGGCAGCAGUGGGGAAUAUUGGACAAUGGGCGCAAGCCUGAUCCAGCCAUGCCGCGUGAGUGAUGAAGGCCU